CCUACGGGUGGCAGCAGUGGGGAAUAUUGCGCAAUGGGCGAAAGCCUGACGCAGCGACGCCGCGUGAGGGAUGAAGGUCUUCGGCGCGUAAAGCCCUGUCAGCAGGGAAGAAAAUGACGGUACCUGAAGAAGAAGCACCGGCUAAAUACGUGCCAGCAGCCGCGGGCAUACGUAGGGGGCAAGCGUUAUCCGGAUUUGCUGGGGGUAAAGGGGGCGCAGACGGGGUAGCAAGCCAGGAGUGAAAGCCCGGGGCCCAACCCCGGGACUGCUGUUGGAACUGGGUGGCUGGAGUGCAGGAGGGGCAGGCGGAAUUCCUGGUGUAGCGGUGAAAUGCGUAGAUAUCAGGAGGAACACCGGUGGCGAAGGCGGCCUGCUGGACUGCAACUGACGUUGAGGCCCGAAAGCGUGGGGAGCAAACAGGAUUAGAUACCCUGGUAGUC
RNAcentral lists this ribosomal RNA (440 nucleotides) under uncultured bacterium. Its description in RNAcentral is "partial 16S ribosomal RNA". It matches the Rfam family "Bacterial small subunit ribosomal RNA", at positions 338 to 795 of the family's 1533-position model. The record is from RNAcentral.